This is a long non-coding RNA of Balaenoptera musculus (blue whale), 441 nucleotides long. RefSeq lists it as uncharacterized. The record is from RefSeq and is a predicted model, not a curated record. The transcript has 3 exons. NCBI's taxonomy places the organism in Eukaryota, Metazoa, Chordata, Mammalia, Artiodactyla, Balaenopteridae.
AACAGUGUCCAGUUCAGUAGCUCCCUUUCUUUCCUCCAGUCCCCAAGUUGUACUCACAUUUUGACAGAACAUUUGCGUUGCCACGUAAAGAACCACGACCAGAGGAGAUGGCGGCUGAGGAUAAAAGGAGCCUGCGAGCGGGAGGAGAAAGCUACGGGCAGCAACGUGUCACGCGACUAGCUGCAGAAAGGAAGUUUUUCCUAACUAUGCAUAGUCUCCUCCUUGCUUUGAUAGGGAUAUAGUCACAGGAAAGCAAAGGAAUAUUGCAUCUGAACCAGGAGUGAAUAUUCUCGGAGAUAAAGCGACAGAUGGGAGGCGGUGUCUUUCUUUUUCAGGAGCAGGUCUUCGAGAAAUGACUGAAUGAUCAAUGGGGAAGGGUCUGUUUCACGUCUGGUUCUCUUUGUUCAUCUUGAGUCCUCCCCAGCAAUCCUCCAUGCUGUG